ACUGUAUUCGGUGCGUUUAAAGAAAAAAAAAAUAUAUAUAUAUAUAAAAGUAAGAUGUACAGUAUAAGAUAGAGUCUUUUACGGUUGGCGAUCGCACACUUAUCGGAACGAUGGUAAACCGGAGAUUUAAGUUCGUUAAAAAGUCUAAAAGGGAAAAUAAUCUUCGCUAGAAUUUGGAUUGACAGAAGGGACAAAGAAUUCGACGUUUCCCGAUUCGAAGCCGCCUAGCAGAGAAUAGAAUCAAAUGAUGGCGCCAAGUGGUACAAAUUGGGAGCAAGGACGAAUGAUCUGACAGAAUUCACCUUCCUUUCCUCCUCCUUCCAAGUUCGUAGGAAUGGUAAAUUUGGCUGCCAAAAUAAUUCGUCAGACGUCUUGGCAAACAAUCUACUUAGUCCAGACACAGCUGUUGGUUACAUAUGACAAAGUAUGAAUUUCGUCCUCCUAAUGGCACACAAAUGGGAUGCAGAAAGCGUAAUUGUCAUAUCACUCUUAACCCAGCACAUUCCCAGAAAAUUAUUCCUCCGGGAGACAAAAAAAGAAAGAAAAACUUACACGCUGAUCAAUCAUACCGAGAUCGAGUUGCACUUAUAUGUUUUUCUAGAUUUAAAAAGGAUUUGGAAUUUAGAUUAAUUCUGAUGGAAUCGUUUUAAUUUAGGAGGAGACACCGAGAGAUUUUUAGAUGCUUCCAAUGCCUGGCGGAAAAUUGCUUGUUCUAGGUUCUGGAAAGAAAUUUUUCUCGAUAGAUAUUGUACCGAUUACUGCUAGAGUGAGUACCAGGUCGUCUUCCAAUCGAUCAGUUCCGUACCACAAUCUUAGUCGAACAGAAAUCGUUAUACCGGUAGCAUUUAUGAGUAAACUAAGGAUCGCACUACCGAUUCCUGCUAAGCUGCGAUGUUUGUGCGGCAUUCUAAGUUAAUGUUAUGGGUUUGAAUUAAUUAUACGACAGUAAGUCUGUAUAUGUCGCUUUGACUACGUGUCUGCGACUGAUUAGCUUCUUAAUAAAUGACGAAAACAAUAGACUGUGUACGUUUUCAAUGGGCCAUCUUGUACGAACAAGUUAGCACACUCUCUUUAUAGGAUGUUUCAGAGCAAAUUAUGCAGAAAAAUUAAUUAUAUAUCGGGUUAAUAAAGUUAAUUAAAUCAGUUUGUUUAUCGAUCGGACGGCUAUCGACAGAAAAUCUUUCGCUUUCGCCUUUACUUCGUUCUGAUCGUGACGCGUGAAUUAUUAUUAUUAUUAUUUUUAUUUUUAUUAUUUUGGAUCGUCCAGAAAUCCGUAAUAUCUAGAAAAACGUAAAACGGACAGGAAAUUUCACUCGUUAAGAUCCUAAUACGUUACAUAUACGUGUAUAAUAUAAGCAAUAGGCGCACUAAUCGAAUUUCGUUUGUGCUCGACAUUCGUCAGUAUCGAUUUUGUACCUUCUCCAAAACUCUGUGGUCAAUUCUGGUUUCCUCUAUUUACUUUGGUGUAUAAAUUGCUUAUCAACAACGAUUACAAAACUAUAUUCAUCCUUGAAAAGUUAAAGAUGCUUGUAAGUCCUACAUAGAUACUGUAAUUGCUGAUAAGAAGAAAACCUCCUAUGCACACAAUCGAGAUAAGGUAUAUCAUAAAUGAUUUCCUGAUUAAAAAAAAAAAAAAAAAAUAGAUGCAUUUUAUAGCUAAAGAAAAGAAAAUAGAUAAAAUUAAAUUUAUUUAAUUUUUACUUGUAUUAUCCGAAUUACCAAUGUUUUCCAACAUUUAUCUUGUUUAUGAAUUAUGACAGUAUUUAAAUUAUGUAAAAUACAUUAUUAUUAAAAAAUUUUUAUACCAAUGAGCGGAUCUCUUGACUGGCAUUAUAAGACUAGCAUGUCAAACUUUAUGAGCAUAUGUUUGACAUGCUUGCCUUAUACUAGUUAUAAUAUAUUCCAAGUUAAUAAGUAAUCAGGCUAUACAUUAUAUUAGACAUGAUAUAACGGGUUUUUAAAAUUAUAUCUACCUAAAAUUAUAAUUUCAUUACUUUUCUGUAUAUUAUGUAGUAGCUUUUAAAUAUCUGAUAAAAAUUUUGAUUUAAUUAAAAUUCUAUUUGUGAUUUCCACAAAUGUAAAAAUUUAUUUAGAUUUUUACUUAUAAAAGAG
This 2112-nucleotide long non-coding RNA is filed under the name Androctonus crassicauda. Lineage: Eukaryota; Metazoa; Arthropoda; Arachnida; Scorpiones; Buthidae. The record is from RNAcentral.